Molecule: ribosomal RNA, 537 nt
Filed under: uncultured prokaryote
Description: bacterial SSU rRNA
Rfam family: Bacterial small subunit ribosomal RNA
Source: RNAcentral
AUUGAACGCUGGCGGCAGGCCUAACACAUGCAAGUCGAGCGGCAGCGGAAAGUAGCUUGCUACUUUGCCGGCGAGCGGCGGACGGGUGAGUAAUGUCUGGGAAACUGCCUGAUGGAGGGGGAUAACUACUGGAAACGGUGGCUAAUACCGCAUAACGUCGCAAGACCAAAGUGGGGGACCUUCGGGCCUCACGCCAUCGGAUGUGCCCAGAUGGGAUUAGCUAGUAGGUGGGGUAAUGGCUCACCUAGGCGACGAUCCCUAGCUGGUCUGAGAGGAUGACCAGCCACACUGGAACUGAGACACGGUCCAGACUCCUACGGGAGGCAGCAGUGGGGAAUAUUGCACAAUGGGCGCAAGCCUGAUGCAGCCAUGCCGCGUGUGUGAAGAAGGCCUUCGGGUUGUAAAGCACUUUCAGCGAGGAGGAAGGCAUCAUACUUAAUACGUGUGGUGAUUGACGUUACUCGCAGAAGAAGCACCGGCUAACUCCGUGCCAGCAGCCGCGGUAAUACGGAGGGUACAAGCGUUAAUCGGAAUUAC